UACGUAGGGGGCUAGCGUUAUCCGGAAUUACUGGGCGUAAAGGGUGCGUAGGUGGUUUCUUAAGUCAGAGGUGAAAGGCUACGGCUCAACCGUAGUAAGCCUUUGAAACUGGGGAACUUGAGUGCAGGAGAGGAGAGUGGAAUUCCUAGUGUAGCGGUGAAAUGCGUAGAUAUUAGGAAGAACACCAGUGGCGAAGGCGAUUCUCUGGACUGUAACUGACGCUGAGGCUCGAAAGCGUGGGGAGCAAACAGG
Molecule: ribosomal RNA, 252 nt
Filed under: uncultured bacterium
Lineage: Bacteria
Description: partial 16S ribosomal RNA
Rfam family: Bacterial small subunit ribosomal RNA
Source: RNAcentral